UACGUAGGGGGCUAGCGUUGCUCGGAAUUACUGGGCGUAAAGCGCACGUAGGCGGCUUUCUAAGUCGGGGGUGAAAUCCUGGAGCUCAACUCCAGAACUGCCUUCGAUACUGGAAAGCUCGAGUCCGGGAGAGGUGAGUGGAACUGCGAGUGUAGAGGUGAAAUUCGUAGAUAUUCGCAAGAACACCAGUGGCGAAGGCGGCUCACUGGCCCGGUACUGACGCUGAGGUGCGAAAGCGUGGGGAGCAAACAGG
Molecule: ribosomal RNA, 253 nt
Filed under: uncultured bacterium
Lineage: Bacteria
Description: partial 16S ribosomal RNA
Rfam family: Bacterial small subunit ribosomal RNA
Source: RNAcentral